RNAcentral lists this long non-coding RNA (1133 nucleotides) under Carica papaya (papaya). Its description in RNAcentral is "long non-coding RNA (CPAP_LNC005255)". The record is from RNAcentral. Lineage: Eukaryota; Viridiplantae; Streptophyta; Magnoliopsida; Brassicales; Caricaceae.
GUACUUUCAUGUCAACCUAAACCACUAAUUUUGAAGUUUAUUAUUUAACAUAAAUGAAAUAAUAUGGACUUGGUCGCACGCUUUAAAAAUGGGCAUACAAUCUACAUAUAUAUAUAUAUAUUAUAUAUGUAUAUGUGUGUGUGUGUGUAUGUACAUAUAUGUUUACAGGUAGAGCAGUAGGUAGAUAUUGGUAGGUAGUAGCCAUGUCUCGCCACAGACGCCAAGCCUCCCGAGUCCUGCCGCCGGACCUACUGGGGUUGGAGGAUCCGCCGCCACCGAGACCACCGGCAGAGAGCAGCCAAGAAACAGCCGGUGGGGCUGGUGCAGCGUCCACCUCGGCCGCUCUCAGAACUCAUCAGCCACCAGCUAGCAAUCCAGGCGGCAGCAGCACCACCCAGCCGUUGGCUCCUCAUUUUGGGGCAGCUCCUCCGGAGAAGUUGCCUCCUGCAAGCAAAGCUUCUUGACGAUGAAAUCAGAAGACCGAUUAGAUCUCGUCAUGGGAGAUUAUUUCAUGGUCCGUCCGGCGUCGUUUUGUCUUGAAGUAGUUGCCGGAAGUUUUAGUUUAGUUGCAGGUUGGCGUAAUUUCCUCCAAGUAAUUCCAGUACUUCACUUUUUCUAAUUCUACUAUGCGUUUUGUUCAGUUUUUUGGUUCAGUUUUUGCGUUUUGUUGCAGUAGUCGUCUUCUUCCUCAAUAAAUUAACGUUUGAUCUCUUUCUACAAAUUAACACCGGUAGAACUCCGUCAUUAUUAUUAUUGUUUUUAUACACACACACACGAUUACAUUCAUAACAAAGUUUCUCUUUCCGUGGAGCAUGUAUAUUAUUUAUACAUACAAACAUAGAAUUUAUGUUCAAGGCUCCAUUCUUUUUACAUUCAAGGUUACAGGCGAUCUGGAAUCCCAUACAUAUGUACACACAUACAUAUACAAAUAUAUAUAUAUAUGUAUGUAUGUGUGUAAGAAACAUACAUGAAAAAAGUGACUCGAUUGAUGGGAUUUGAAAGACUGCGAUGAUAUGUUCAUCCGUCUUAAUAUUUUUUUAUUUUUAAAUGAAAUUUUAUUAAUUAGGUUAAUUUUUUAAAUGAAUUUUAAUAAUAAUUUUCUUCCCUUGUUAUUUUUAAGUACUUUUUUUUAG